This 252-nucleotide ribosomal RNA is filed under the name uncultured bacterium. Its description in RNAcentral is "partial 16S ribosomal RNA". It matches the Rfam family "Bacterial small subunit ribosomal RNA", at positions 524 to 776 of the family's 1533-position model. The record is from RNAcentral.
UACGUAGGGUCCGAGCGUUAAUCGGAAUUACUGGGCGUAAAGCGUGCGCAGCGGUUUUGUAAGCCAGAUGUGAAAUCCCCGGGCUUAACCUGGGAACUGCAUUUGUGACUGCAUAGCUAGAGUACGGUAGAGGGGGAUGGAAUUCCGCGUGUAGCAGUGAAAUGCGUAGAUAUGCGGAGGAACACCGAUGGCGAAGGCAAUCCCCUGGACCUGUACUGACGCUCAUGCACGAAAGCGUGGGGAGCAAACAGG